This 387-nucleotide long non-coding RNA is filed under the name Zostera marina. RNAcentral describes it as "long non-coding RNA (ZMAR_LNC006141)". The record is from RNAcentral. Lineage: Eukaryota; Viridiplantae; Streptophyta; Magnoliopsida; Alismatales; Zosteraceae.
GUGAUUAUUAGUCCCAGACCACUAUUAAAUCCCAUGUUUCCCUUGAGAGAAACCAGGAUCUUGCAAGGUAUGUGAACACUACUAUGGUUGUCUGUUUGAGUCCAUCACUAUUUUAUGAUUUGUCACAUACCUAUAUCCUAGUAAGUUCAAUAGUUUUCCUGUCUGUUUUUGUAGGGUCCAGUGAUUUUUCAAUAUCUUCAUGUUGAUUGAACAUUCUUUGUUAGUUGGCAAAUGACAAUUUGAAUUUCAUACUUAUUCAUCAUUUUGUAAAAUAUCUCGACUUAUGUUCCGAAGAUAGCAUCCCAAUUUACGAAAUCGAAUGCCUUUUGUAAAUCUACAUAAAUACGAACUCUUUUCAUUGUAAUUUUUUUGAGGUCUUGACUGUUG